Molecule: long non-coding RNA, 236 nt
Filed under: Elaeis guineensis (African oil palm)
Lineage: Eukaryota; Viridiplantae; Streptophyta; Magnoliopsida; Arecales; Arecaceae
Description: long non-coding RNA (EGUI_LNC074637)
Source: RNAcentral
AUCUUCCACGCCCAAAGGAGCUUGGGAGUCCCUCUUUGCUUGCUGAUUUUUAGUCUCUCAUUGCUUCAUAAUUAAGAGAAAAAAAGCAAGAGAAGAAAAGAAGAAGAAGAUCAAGGAAAGGAUUAAAGAUUUGAUCGCGAUCCAGACUUCAUUCAGAUUCGUAAGUUGAUUUUUCUUAGAGAAGAAAAAUCAAUACCAAAGAGGACUAUUCCAGACUGAUCCUGAGUAGAUACCCA